Molecule: ribosomal RNA, 441 nt
Filed under: uncultured Caldilineaceae bacterium
Lineage: Bacteria; Bacillati; Chloroflexota; Caldilineae; Caldilineales; Caldilineaceae
Description: bacterial SSU rRNA
Rfam family: Bacterial small subunit ribosomal RNA
Source: RNAcentral
CCUACGGGGGGCAGCAGUAAGGAAUAUUGCACAAUGGGGGGAACCCUGAUGCAGCAACGCCGCGUGGGUGAUGAAGGCUUUCGAGUUGUAAAACCCUUUACUGUGGGAUGAGUAAGGACAGUACCACAGAAAAAAGUCUCGGCUAACUACGUGCCAGCAGCCGCGGUGAGACGUAGGAGGCGAGCGUUAUCCGGAUUCACUGGGCGUAAAGGGCAAGUAGGCGGUUGUUCAAGUUGGGCGUGACAGCACUCGGCUUAACUGAGAGAGGUCGUCCAAUACUGAAUGACUAGAGGGCAGGAGAGGAAAGUGGAACUCCCGAUGUAGCGGUGGAAUGCUCAGAUAUCGGGAAGAACACCAGUGGCGAAGGCGGCUUUCUGGCCUGCACCUGACGCUGAGACGCGAAAGCUAGGGUAGCGAACGGGCUUAGAUACCCGGGUAGUC